UGGCGGCCUUAGCGCGGUGGUCCCACCUGACCCCAUGCCGAACUCAGAAGUGAAACGCCGUAGCGCCGAUGGUAGUGUGGGGUCUCCCCGAUGCGAGAGUAGGGAACUGCCAGGCA
RNAcentral lists this ribosomal RNA (116 nucleotides) under Escherichia coli DEC7B. Lineage: Bacteria; Pseudomonadati; Pseudomonadota; Gammaproteobacteria; Enterobacterales; Enterobacteriaceae. The record is from RNAcentral. RNAcentral also lists the same sequence under 1 other name.